This 196-nucleotide ribosomal RNA is filed under the name uncultured Acidobacteriota bacterium. Its description in RNAcentral is "uncultured Acidobacteria bacterium partial 16S ribosomal RNA". It matches the Rfam family "Bacterial small subunit ribosomal RNA", at positions 335 to 524 of the family's 1533-position model. The record is from RNAcentral. Lineage: Bacteria; Pseudomonadati; Acidobacteriota.
ACUCCUACGGGAGGCAGCAGUAGGGAAUCUUCCGCAAUGGGCGCAAGCCUGACGACGCAACGCCGCGUGGAGGAUGAAGGUCUUCGGAUUGUAAACUCCUGUUGCCCGGGACGAAUAGCUCCGACCUAACACGUCCGAGUCUGACGGUACCGGGUGAGGAAGCCCCGGCUAACUCUGUGCCAGCAGCCGCGGUAAU